UGUUCCAUGCAUUUAUUUCCAAAUUGUUCUGAAUGAUAGGAUAGCCUUAAGGUUUUUGUGUGUGUAUAUGUAUGAAAAAGGCCAUCAGUUGUACUACAAACUGCUACAUUUGUGGUAAAAGAUGCAGUUUCUUUUUGGGGUCACUGCCCCCAAAUAAGAGAUUUAAACAAGAAAAUAUUCACCAAGUAUUCAAAUGGAUAUUGACAAAUCCCAAAAUCCUCAAAGCUUUAACCAAAAAUUAUCUACUAUUGACCUCACCCCAUUCCUAAGAGGUCUGUAAAGGGCAUUCAUAAGAGCACAAGUGUGCCUACCGUUCCUGUCCUAAUGUUCCCUUUCAUUGUAUCCAAUUCAUAUAGUUAUUACAUACUUAUGCUUAUAUAUAUGCUUAUAUAUCAUAAAGUUAUUUCAUGCUUAUGCUUAUAUAUACUGUUGUGACAAAAUAAAUAAAUAAAAUAAAUGGGGUAUGGAGCUAAUAAAUGGCUGGCAGGGUGAACCUAGAUGAAUUUUCAGAUAUAAAAGACAUGCGACUGGAGAAGUGGGUGGGUGGGUAGAAGCUAAUCUCCUUUCCAUACUAACAAAUGAGAUUUCAGAUUUAGCAUGAAAGAGACUUGUGAGAUAUUUCUCUUCCCCCACCCUCCUUUAUGCAUUUAACUAUCAGCCUCUGACUAAAAGAAAUGAUUUAUGUUUUCAGUAGAAGAGUUCAGUCAAAGUCAGGUCACAAGAUAUUCCUGAGGUGGCCUUGUGCAAAUGUAGGAUUCUAACUGAAUCAGCUGAUUCAAAGUAAGUUGUCUUUACCUAUUGAUGUUCCUCUGUUCUUUGGGAUUCAGUGGAUGUAAUGCUGAACUGAAGCCCGCCAAAUAAUAAACAGUAAACAUUUUCUGCCUUGGUUUUCUGCUUUCUGUUCUUGAUAACAUUAAUCGUUAAUAACAGUCUCCUGGUUUCUAGCCUAGUACCUUAACUGUUAGACCAAAGGGGUUCUUGGUGCUCUCUGAGCUAUUUCAUUACCCAAAUUAGGUAACAUCAUCAGCAUUGAUGAUGUUAAGUAGUUUGGGUAAUGAAAUGUCUGCAAGAAAAUAAUCAAGGUGAAAAAGCACCAAGGUAUCCUCACCAAAAGUUCUUUCUUCAAGGGCUGCCUUAAUAUAUUGUUCUCCAGUCCUUCAUUAUGCUCCCUUUCAAACCUAAAAAUAAAACGGCAUUCAUGGUAGCCUUUACUAUUUGUAUGGAAGGUGCUCCAUUUUCUUGAUCAUUAGGUUGUUGUUUCCUGCUUUCUCAGCGCCACACAAUUUCUGUUGAGAUGCCUCAGGACAUCUCUAAGGGCGGUUAUACAACAAAGACAUCAUAAAGUUUGACAAUUUUAUUUUCAAUCGUUUUCCCAAUGAACCUGAACACAGAAUUUGCCUUUUCCACAACUGCUUUACAUUGCAUUAACAUUUUGCUGAGCUGCCACAAUGAUCCCUAAUUAUAUUCUUAAUAAAGCAUUAAACUUGCUUUUAUAAUUAAAAACAAACUCCAAGUUAGAGAGUCCACUAAUACACAAUGUACAUCACCUUAAUAUUAUACUGAAGUUAAUUUCUAUUUUGUUCCCUGAUUUGGAGCAAUUGUCCUGGUGUUUUCAGCCAUUUUUUUUUACUUUCAAUUCAUCAUCUGAAUACUUUGGUAUCGAUAGAAGCUUGUUAACUUCAUGUAGAUCUCAAUUGCAGCAGUCCUGAAUGAGAUGACACAGAAGCCUGUACUAGGUAGAAGGACACAUGUGUCGCAAUUGUUCUGAUGGAUAUGAUGAAGAUGAUGCUUUUCAAGAAGUAAAACCUGUACCUCCUCAUCAUUCUCAUUAAGCCAGUCAUGCUGGUUGUGAGUAGUGGGCACUAGCCUCUUUAGGUGCAGAUGAAUGGACAACAUCCUUAAAGAAUUCCCAGUCAUCCACAGCACUGGCAGCAAGAUGCAGCUGGUUGUUCACACACUUGAAUAGACUAACAAGUUUCCAAACAGGGUGACUCCUAAUGACAAACCCAACUCCAGCAUCAUGACUCUCAUCAUUAUCAUGACUACUCCCCCCCAAAAGUGCAUCCACCUUCAAUUUCAGUCGGCUGACUUUAAAUGGAUUGUCCAAAUGUGGGUGCAUAUGCCAAGUGCCAAUGAUGACCUGCAUUUUUUUCUGUGUUUGUUCAAGUGCCAAGAUGGGACCCUAUCAACCAUGGUAAACUGGCCAGACUGUUGUGAAGGAGGCAGUGUUUAGGACUUUUUAAGGCUUUUCCUCAUACUAUGGAGGUGAACAGUGCAUUCCUAAAAAGGGCUGCUCAGUCACCCAAGUGGACACUGGGUUUAACAGAUUAACAGAAUAACAGAGUUGGAAGGGACCUUGGAGAUCUUUUAGUCCAACCCCAUGCUCCAGAGUUGCACUGCUGUUUCUUCCAGUGAAAAAACGACAACGACCAGAGCUGCCUGCAUACAGAUCCAUGACUGCAUACAGCUCUCAGUGUAUCCAUAUCUAUUGUUUUGUCACUUGUCCAUCACCACAUGACUUUUUUUUAAAAGACUGAUGAUAAUGAUGGUGUUGAUAAAGGUAAAGGUUCCACUCGCACAUAUGUGCUAGUCAUUCCUGACUCUAGGGGACGAUGCUCAUCUCUG
This is a long non-coding RNA of Ahaetulla prasina, 2625 nucleotides long. RefSeq lists it as uncharacterized. The transcript has 3 exons. Lineage: Eukaryota; Metazoa; Chordata; Lepidosauria; Squamata; Colubridae. The record is from RefSeq and is a predicted model, not a curated record.